GUAGUCUCGCACAGAUGCAUAUCAAUAAGCGGAGGAAAAGAAACUAACAAGGAUUCCCUUAGUAACGGCGAGUGAAGCGGGAAGAGCUCAAAUUUGAAAUCUUAAAGGGUUUCCCUUUACGAAUUGUAGUUUAAAGAAGUGUUUUCUGUUGAGGUUUUGGUAAAAGUUCUUUGGAAUAGGACAUCAUAGAGGGUGAGAAUCCCGUAUUUGACCUUUACUUUCAACUUUGUGAUACACUUUCAAAGAGUCGGAUUGUUUGGGAAUGCAGUCCAAAAUGGGUGGUAAAUUUCAUCUAAAGCUAAAUAUUGGCGAGAGACCGAUAGCGAACAAGUACCGUGAGGGAAAGAUGAAAAGAACUUUGAAAAGAGAGUUAAACAGUACGUGAAAUUGUCAAAAGGGAAGCGUUUGACACCAGUGUUGUUUUUCUGAAAAUCAAUUAAAGAACUGUUUAUGCUAAGCUGUUUAGACUUUAUCGGCUAUCUGUUUAGUUUUGAGCUUUUCUUUAAUGCACUUUUCAGUUAACAAGUCAACAUCAAUUUCUUUUGCUGUAAAAAAGCUUGAGGAAGGUGGCUUGAGAUUCGUCUUAAGUGUUUAUAGCCUCUUGCCUAUGCAGUCGGAGAGAUUGAGGUCUGCAGCGUAGAUCCUUCGGGGCUAAAUGCAUUUGUGCUAAGUUAUAGCAUUUUAUAGACAACUUGUUGACUAUGAUUUGUCUUGUAGCUUACUCGCUUAUGUUAUUUUACCUACGCUUAGGAUGUUGAAGACUCUACAGAGAUA
Molecule: ribosomal RNA, 774 nt
Filed under: uncultured Neocallimastigales
Lineage: Eukaryota; Fungi; Neocallimastigomycota; Neocallimastigomycetes; Neocallimastigales
Description: partial large subunit ribosomal RNA
Rfam family: Eukaryotic large subunit ribosomal RNA
Source: RNAcentral